This 447-nucleotide ribosomal RNA is filed under the name uncultured bacterium. RNAcentral's name for it is "partial 16S ribosomal RNA". It matches the Rfam family "Bacterial small subunit ribosomal RNA", at positions 29 to 523 of the family's 1533-position model. The record is from RNAcentral.
AACGAACGCUGGCGGCAGGCUUAACACAUGCAAGUCGAGCGCGUAGCAAUACGAGCGGCAGACGGGGGAGUAACGCGUGGGAAUCUACCUUUUGCUACGGAAUAACUCAGGGAAACUUGUGCUAAUACCGUAUGUGCCCUUUUGGGGAAAGAUUUAUCGGCAAGAGAUGAGCGCGCGUUGGACUAGGUAGUUGGUGGGGUAAUGGCCUACCAAGCCGACGAUCCAUAGCUUGUCUGAGAGGAUGAUCAGCCACCUUGGGACUGAGACACGGCCCAGAAUCCGACGGGAGGCGGCAGUGGGGAAUAUUGGACAAUGGGGGCAAGCCUGAUCCAGCCAAGCCGCGUAAGUGAUGAAGGCCCUAGGGUUGUAAAGCUCUUUCACCGGUGAAGAUAAUGACGGUAACCGGAGAAGAAGCCCCGGCUAACUUCGUGCCAGCAGCCGCCGUAA